UCUGGGGGAUGCAGGCAAAGGAAAGGGUUUAGCUGGUCAGUCUCUCAAGGCCAGCUAAGCAAAGUUGGUGGAAUCAAAGGAACUCACUCACUCACUCUUUGGUUACUUAGCAACUCUCUCACUCUUUGGUUACCUAGCAACAACCUUUUGAGUAACUGGCGCAGAAGCAGUUUAAUGUUUUGCCACUCUGCAUGUUUAAAAC
Molecule: long non-coding RNA, 202 nt
Organism: Xiphophorus hellerii (green swordtail)
Lineage: Eukaryota; Metazoa; Chordata; Actinopteri; Cyprinodontiformes; Poeciliidae
Exons: 3
Source: RefSeq, a predicted model, not a curated record